CUGGAUAAAACUACCUCCCUUGAAUAAAUAGUUGGCAAGGACUUGGAUGACUGUUAAGAUGUUUUAGCACCAUCUUGCAGCAUUUUAUGCCUUAUUUUUUUCCAUGUUCAGUGCAUGGUAUGGAAUAUGGCUUUGGAGAACAUGAGUACUCAACAAGUUGUGUGUUUGAGGUGGAAACUAGAAGCUGUCUUGGCUUCAUCUUCAGAUCGGUGCAUAUAAGUUGUGAUUUGAAUCUUCAUGUGCAUAUGUUUUAAAUAAGACGUUGUGCUUGCACCAAAUAUUUGCUUCCAUACUAAUAUAGACAAAGUCUAUGUAAGAGUUUGAUGGGACUAUGAAAGCAUGCUUACAACUUCAUUAUAAAGUAUUGUAUGUUCACUUUUAAAUUAAUUUCAUUCGGUGCCAUCAUGUGGUUCAUUAUGGCUAUGAAGAUCCUCUCUAAUGGUAAUUCUUUUUUUAAUCACAAAAUUAUUAUUUCAUUGUAUAUAAAUGAGUUUAAUUAUCAAACCAUAUUAAUUCUCUUUUGUUUUGUCCAGUACUCUCCAUGACGUGAGGGUUUGAUCACCAACCAAGUUUAGAAAGGAUCUUGUUUUGCAAUUUUAAUUGAACGAGCGAUUCAACCUUUUCGAUUACGAAUAUUCCUAUAUGAGUUAUAUAACAUUGAUUUUUUUUAUAUUUAUUAAAAAGAAUUAAAAUCUGGACUGUUGAUUUUUUUCAUGCCACAUAUUAAGAUUUGCAUCAAUAGCUUAAUAUUAGACUCUCAUAAAAGAAUUUUUACUCAAUAUAAUUAUAUAUAAUUAUUUGUUUUUAUUUAUAAUUAUAUAUUUAUAAAUAAUUAUUAAUUAUAUAUGAUGAGUGAAAAAUUAAACCCAAUUAAACAUUAUAUAAAACCUUUCUCAAAUUGAUGUGGAGAUGAGUUAUAUAACAUUGCUUACCAGUAGAAAGAGAAAUCUUCAGGUAAAGUUUACUAUUAAAUCGUAUUGGGUGGUUCCUUUGCUAAUGAAGGUUUUUAGCCUCUCUCGUGAAUUGGCCUAGCAUCAAUCGAGUAUCACGCAAAGGUGGAUGCUCUAGUUUGCUUUUGUAGCGGCAACUUUCGUUAAGAU
This 1100-nucleotide long non-coding RNA is filed under the name Lupinus angustifolius (narrow-leaved blue lupine). RNAcentral describes it as "long non-coding RNA (LANG_LNC000917)". Lineage: Eukaryota; Viridiplantae; Streptophyta; Magnoliopsida; Fabales; Fabaceae. The record is from RNAcentral.